Molecule: long non-coding RNA, 1630 nt
Organism: Biomphalaria glabrata
Lineage: Eukaryota; Metazoa; Mollusca; Gastropoda; Planorbidae
Exons: 5
Source: RefSeq, a predicted model, not a curated record
GAUCUAGGCCUAUCUCAACUCGGCUUCGCAUCUGUCGUAAACGAAUGUAGCUUUAGAAAACCAAAUUUGAAUGUUUAUUUGAUCAAAAUAUGAAAUGAAUGGACUUUAAUUAAUAUGUAUAUGUGUUAAAGUAUAAAACUAUCCGUGCGAAGAGAAGUUUUAUCAUCUUAGAGUUGAAUUAGAGUUUUAGAUCUAGGGAUGGGAUUAUAAAGUAAACAAUUAAACGAAUUAAUAUUUAGUACGCGAUUCAUUACGGAAUUGUCUAAUGAAAGAAUGUUCGUCAGGAAAUCUGUAAUCACAGAUAUAAGUUUGUUUUAGGGCUACAAUACAUACACUACGGUCUAAGUUGGUACCCAAGGAACAUUCCUGCCUAGUUUUAUCAAGAUUGGUCAAGCGGUUUUGAUGUCUAUAAAGUUGAAGAUAUCUACUUGGUAGUCUAAACCUCAAAGGAGCUUAGGGAAGUGAUGGCAGUUGCAGGGUAUGAACCAGACGACCAUGCAGAGACCAACGAGGUGACCAAACAGUCCAUCGUGCAUACCACAUAACCAGGUCCAGAAUGCCAGUUUUCUUUAAGGGCAGCUGACAAUAAGAAUUGUCUAUGUAUGCACUACAGAUGCUGUUCAAUAUCUUUUCAUGAGGAAGCCUGCUCAAAAAGAUCGCCACAUUUUCUUUAGGGGAAUUUUAAGUUGACAUUAAUCUUUUAGGUUAAUAAUAACCUAUGCAUGCAGCACAGAUGCUGUUCAUCAUCUUUUCAUAAGCAAGCCUGCUCAAGAAGCUGCUGCAUGGAAGUCAAAAUAUGAAUUAUUGCCACCAGUCUUGAAGUCAGCUUGUAAAGAAUGCUAAGAAUUGAAUGAAAAUGCUGUCUUGAUAUCUUGUUUGUGCUGUUAUAUUUGUCUUUUGUGUUGGUUAAUUAUUCCAUGAAUAAAAAAAAAAAAAGUUAAUUGUGUAAGUUUGAUUUAAGAAUAAAUGAUCAGAGCAUGCAAGUCUUAUAUAGUACGUUACCAAAAAUUGUAUUGUUUGAUAGUGUUCAAACCCAAAAAUGUAAUUUAACUUGUCCAUUACUUUAUAAAUAUGUUGACAUUAUAGCUAGAUGUAUAUAGAAAUCAUGCACUGAUUCAAUUAUUAUAAUUUCCAAACAAUUAUGUCAAAUAAUUCUAUUGCUAGAUCUAAAUCAUCAGUGUGAAAGUAGACCUAUGUAAAAGGUUAAAAAUCUCAUACUAAACCAUUGAGCUGCAUUUGAACAAAAAGGGCAUUAUAAACAAAAAAUCACUAAUGAAUUUGUUUUAAACUACAGUAUUGAAAAACAUUAAAGAUUAUUCCUAAUUAAGCCAUAAUAAAAUUUAAUGACUGAACCAUCGGAGACAGUAUUUGCAUGAUAAUACCUAGUUGAGCCCUAAUAAAUAUUUCAGUUACUAAACCAUUAGGGCCAGCAUCGGACCGAUAAUGGCACAAUAAGGGUUAUCCCUAAUUGAACCCUAAUUAAUAUUUCAAUUACUAAACCAUUAGGGCCAGCAUUGGACCGAUAAUGGCACAAUAAGGGAUAUCCCUAAUUGAACCCUAAUAAAUAUUUCAGUUACUAAACCAUUAGGGCCAGCAUCGGACCGAUAUUGGCACAAUAAGGGUUAUCCCU